RNAcentral lists this ribosomal RNA (406 nucleotides) under uncultured bacterium. RNAcentral describes it as "bacterial SSU rRNA". It matches the Rfam family "Bacterial small subunit ribosomal RNA", at positions 355 to 775 of the family's 1533-position model. The record is from RNAcentral.
UAGGGAAUAUUGCGCAAUGGGGGAAACCCUGACGCAGCGACGCCGCGUGAGUGAUGAAGGCCUUCGGGUCGUAAAGCUCUGUUGCAGGGGAAUAAAAAAAUGAAUGUACCCUGCGAGGAAGGAUCGGCUAACUUCGUGCCAGCAGCCGCGGUAAGACGAGGGAUCCUAGCGUUGUUCGGAAUCAUUGGGCGUAAAGCGGGUGUAGGUGGCUUGGUAAGUCGGGUGUGAAAGCCCAGGGCUCAACCCUGGAAGUGCAUUCGAUACUGCUGAGCUUGAGUGUUGGAGAGGUCAUCGGAAUACCUGGUGUAGUGGUGAAAUACGUAGAUAUCAGGUGGAACACCGGAGGCGAAGGCGGGUGACUGGCCAAACACUGACACUGAGACCCGAAAGUGUGGGGAUCAAACAG